UACGAAGGGUGCAAGCGUUAAUCGGAAUUACUGGGCGUAAAGCGCGCGUAGGUGGUUCAGUAAGUUGGAAGUGAAAUCCCCGGGCUCAACCCGGGAACUGCUUUCAAAACUGCUGAGCUAGAGUACGGUAGAGGGUGGUGGAAUUUCCUGUGUAGCGGUGAAAUGCGUAGAUAUAGGAAGGAACACCAGUGGCGAAGGCGACCACCUGGACUGAUACUGACACUGAGGUGCGAAAGCGUGGGGAGCAAACAGG
This 253-nucleotide ribosomal RNA is filed under the name uncultured bacterium. RNAcentral's name for it is "partial 16S ribosomal RNA". It matches the Rfam family "Bacterial small subunit ribosomal RNA", at positions 524 to 776 of the family's 1533-position model. The record is from RNAcentral.